UAAAACUGAUCAUCCUGAGGAUAUUGCCCUUGGAGUUAAUUUUUUGAGAGAAAUAAAACAAUAAACAUCAUAAGACACAAACCCCAAGCAACUGAUCUCACUGUUAAAAUCCAACCUGAGAACAAUGGAAUGGACCAUACUGUCUUUGUCACAACUCUGCCAUUGCAGCGUGAAAGCAUCCAUAGACGGUACACAAAUGCAUGGAUGUAGU
RNAcentral lists this long non-coding RNA (211 nucleotides) under Homo sapiens (human). Its description in RNAcentral is "HSALNT0310661". Lineage: Eukaryota; Metazoa; Chordata; Mammalia; Primates; Hominidae. The record is from RNAcentral.